RNAcentral lists this ribosomal RNA (400 nucleotides) under uncultured bacterium. Its description in RNAcentral is "bacterial SSU rRNA". It matches the Rfam family "Bacterial small subunit ribosomal RNA", at positions 355 to 772 of the family's 1533-position model. The record is from RNAcentral.
UAGGGAAUAUCGGUAAUGGGCGAAAGCCUGAACCAGCAACGCCGCGUGUGCGAUGAAGGCCUUCGGGUUGUAAAGCACUUUUUGAGGGGGAUGAGGUAGGACAGUACCCUCAGAAUAAGUCUCGGCUAACUACGUGCCAGCAGCCGCGGUAACACGUAGGAGACAAGCGUUAUUCGGAUUUACUGGGCGUAAAGCGCGUGCAGGCGGUCUGGUAAGUUGGAUGUGAAAGCUCCUGGCUCAACUGGGAGAGGUCGUUCAAUACUGUCAGACUAGAGAGUGGGAGAGGGAGGUGGAAUUCCGGGUGUAGUGGUGAAAUGCGUAGAUAUCCGGAGGAACACCAGUGGCGAAAGCGGCCUCCUGGCCCAUUCUGACGCUUAGACGCGAAAGCUAGGGUAGCAAA